This is a long non-coding RNA of Podarcis raffonei (Aeolian wall lizard), 505 nucleotides long. RefSeq lists it as uncharacterized. The record is from RefSeq and is a predicted model, not a curated record. The transcript has 3 exons. NCBI's taxonomy places the organism in Eukaryota, Metazoa, Chordata, Lepidosauria, Squamata, Lacertidae.
UGGUUGGGAAAGGCAGUUGGGAAAGCAGUUGGCAGACAGUUAGAAAUAGAGAGACAGUUAGUGCAGUUGGUUCUUUUGUGAGGGGAAGUAGAAGAGUUAGAGACAGGAUAAAAUAAGACUAAGAAGGAGGUUGGCAGUCUUCUACUUCUCCUGGAUCACAGAACCUGGAUCCUCAGGUUGUGGCGAUAGCUAACUUGCGUUUUUUCUAGUUACAGGAGCUUGUUUCAUAAUGACUGCCAGGGCUGAUUCACACUUUACUAAACAGACAUGCCUGCCAUGUAUCCAUCGGUGCAGGAGUGUACAGGGGAUGACCCAGACGGCCAGUGGCUGUGACUGACUGCUCCUCCCUGGAAUAUAUUUAUCUCCAUGGACGUGCAGUUUUCUAGUGUUUACCAUGGCAAAUACACACUGCAGACAUGUGAAGUGGUGCUCUGUUUGGCCCACGAAAGACUUAAGCCACAGUGUGCAACACAUAUUCACUUUGUGAAAUUCACCAUCACAAGGU